This 497-nucleotide ribosomal RNA is filed under the name uncultured bacterium. RNAcentral describes it as "partial 16S ribosomal RNA". It matches the Rfam family "Bacterial small subunit ribosomal RNA", at positions 28 to 507 of the family's 1533-position model. The record is from RNAcentral.
GAUGAACGCUGGCGGCGUGCCUAAUACAUGCAAGUCGAGCGAACAGACGAGGAGCUUGCUCCUCUGACGUUAGCGGCGGACGGGUGAGUAACACGUGGAUAACCUACCUAUAAGACUGGGAUAACUUCGGGAAACCGGAGCUAAUACCGGAUAAUAUAUUGAACCGCAUGGUUCAAUAGUGAAAGACGGUUUUGCUGUCACUUAUAGAUGGAUCCGCGCCGCAUUAGCUAGUUGGUAAGGUAACGGCUUACCAAGGCAACGAUGCGUAGCCGACCUGAGAGCGUAAUCGGCCACACUGGAACUGAGACACGGUCCAGACUCCUACGGGAGGCAGCAGUAGGCAAUCUUCCGCAAUGGGCGAAAGCUUGACGGAGCAACGCCGCGUGAGUGAUGAAGGUCUUCGGAUCGUAAAACUCUGUUAUUAGGGAAGAACAAAUGUGUAAGUAACUAUGCACGUCUUGACGGUACCUAAGCAGAAAGCCACGGGUAACUACGUG